Molecule: small RNA, 95 nt
Filed under: Sinorhizobium meliloti 2011
Lineage: Bacteria; Pseudomonadati; Pseudomonadota; Alphaproteobacteria; Hyphomicrobiales; Rhizobiaceae
Description: putative ncRNA
Source: RNAcentral
UUCAGGUCGGCCGGUCCCUUGAGAUCGUAACCCGCGUUGAUCGCCGCCCGUGCAACGCCGAGCGCCAGUGCGUCGGUCUCGUACACGCGUGGCGU